Molecule: non-coding RNA, 1138 nt
Organism: Nerophis lumbriciformis (worm pipefish)
Lineage: Eukaryota; Metazoa; Chordata; Actinopteri; Syngnathiformes; Syngnathidae
Source: RefSeq, a predicted model, not a curated record
UGCUAUAAUAUUUUUUAUUAAUAAAUACAAAAAUCAUUAUAUAACAAAUAAAUAAUGUAAUACAAUUAUAAUAAUUAUAUGAUUUAUAUUGAAUUAUAACAAUAAUAAUUUAUAAUUGUAUAAUUUAUCAUUUUUUGCACCAUGCACUUUACUAAACGGUGCGGACUUUUCUUUGCCGACGGCCAUAAAGCAAAUAGUUGUCAUUAAAACACAUGCAAAGACACUGAAAUGGUGUGUUAUUGUUUGCAGUAUAGCACCAUCUUAUGGACGAGUUUGCUCACUGCAGGCGCCCGUUGGGUAAACAAACGGCUACAAGUAUUUUUUUCUGUGAAGCGCUUUCAAGUGCCGUUCCGUCUUCCGGCCGUCCAUAGCGUUUCUACUCCUAAGGAUUCUUCAUUCAUCACGCCGAGCAACGUUUGUAAGUUUUACAAUGUAACUAAAACAAUUCUUACUCACUAAACCGUCCCGUGUGUGAUGUCUGUAGGAGUGUUUUCAUGCAUUUUUAUACGUGCUUUAUACCUGCCUUCAAGAGCCUGCACAACCUGCCAUCCCGUGCCAGAACAUAACCUUCUGUUGAUGUCCCACCUCCGUUCCCGCGUUGACGUUGCUGUGUGUCUCGUCAUUCCUUGUCCCCCCGCCCCCUGUUUCCCUGACUGCCUCUUGGAUCUUGACCACCCUUUGCAUGGACACGGACUCUGACGCCUCUCUCUCGCCCUGGAUCUUUCGCUUGUUGCACGGACUUCCUAGAUCAGCCUCGCCCUCUUGGACUUCCGAGUUUGGAACAACACCUCCCGCUUGAUGACGGCCUCCCUGGUCUCGGAGUCGGUGGUCAGGUCGAACAUUCCCAGGCCGUCGCCGUCCGUCAGGCGGUAGUUGACCAUCCCGUUGUCUCCCAUGUCGGGGUCCUUGGCCUUGAGGCGGCCCACCUCCUCCCCCUCCACCUUGUCCUCGGACACGGCCAUGGAGUACACGCCUGCCAGGGAAGACGGCAGCACAGGAGGAGGUUCCUACCUGCGUGUCUGUGCGAGCGACGGCCGACGGACGCGUCCGCUCUCCGGCUGCCUGACGCCAGACUACACAGAGCGCAGAGCCCCGCGAGCAGGACAAAGACCCUCAGCAGCCCCACGCCUCGCCUCUU